ACGGAAGGCAGCAGUGGGGAAUAUUGCACAAUGGGGGAAACCCUGAUGCAGCGACGCCGCGUGAGUGAAGAAGUAUUUCGGUAUGUAAAGCUCUAUCAGCAGGAAAGAAAAUGACGGUACCUGACUAAGAAGCCCCGGCUAACUACGUGCCAGCAGCCGCGGUAAUACGUAGGGGGCAAGCGUUAUCCGGAUUUACUGGGUGUAAAGGGAGCGUAGACGGCUUUGCAAGUCUGAAGUGAAAGCCCGGAGCUCAACCCCGGAACUGCUUUGGAAACUGUAGAGCUAGAGUGCAGGAGAGGUAAGUGGAAUUCCUAGUGUAGCGGUGAAAUGCGUAGAUAUUAGGAGGAACACCAGUGGCGAAGGCGGCUUACUGGACUGUAACUGACGUUGAGGCUCGAAGGCGUGGGGAGCAAACAGGAUUAGAUACCCUGGUA
Molecule: ribosomal RNA, 434 nt
Filed under: uncultured Lachnospiraceae bacterium
Lineage: Bacteria; Bacillati; Bacillota; Clostridia; Lachnospirales; Lachnospiraceae
Description: partial 16S ribosomal RNA
Rfam family: Bacterial small subunit ribosomal RNA
Source: RNAcentral